GCGGGAAUAGCUCAGUGGUAGAGCACAACCUUGCCAAGGUUGGGGGCGCGAGUUCGAGCUUCGUUUCCCGCU
This 72-nucleotide transfer RNA is filed under the name Sodalis sp. TME1. It matches the Rfam family "tRNA". From Rfam's summary of the family: Transfer RNA (tRNA) molecules are approximately 80 nucleotides in length. Their secondary structure includes four short double-helical elements and three loops (D, anti-codon, and T loops). Lineage: Bacteria; Pseudomonadati; Pseudomonadota; Gammaproteobacteria; Enterobacterales; Bruguierivoracaceae. The record is from Rfam by way of RNAcentral.